GACGUAGGGCGCGAGCGUUGUCCGGAUUUAUUGGGCGUAAAGAGCUCGUAGGCGGUUUGUCGCGUCUGCUGUGAAAACCCGAGGCUCAACCUCGGGCCUGCAGUGGGGUACGGGCAGACUAGAGUGCGGUAGGGGGAGAUUGGAAUUCCUGGUGUAGCGGUGGAAUGCGCAGAUAUCAGGAGGAACACCAAUGGCGAAGGCAGAUCUCUGGGCCGUAACUGACGCUGAGGAGCGAAAGCAUGGGGAGCGAACAGG
RNAcentral lists this ribosomal RNA (255 nucleotides) under uncultured bacterium. RNAcentral describes it as "partial 16S ribosomal RNA". It matches the Rfam family "Bacterial small subunit ribosomal RNA", at positions 524 to 776 of the family's 1533-position model. The record is from RNAcentral.